Non-coding RNA from Cavia porcellus (domestic guinea pig), 46 nucleotides. Lineage: Eukaryota; Metazoa; Chordata; Mammalia; Rodentia; Caviidae. The record is from Rfam.
CCAAAGGCCCUUUUCAGGGCCGCCCACCUUUUCCUUUAAAAGAGCU